GAUGAACGCUGGCGGCGUGCUUAACACAUGCAAGUCGAACGGGAUCCAAGGGGUGCUUGCACUUUUUGGUGAGAGUGGCGAACGGGUGAGUAACACGUGAGUAACCUGUCCUUUUCUUUGGGAUAAGCAUUCGAAAGGGUGUUUAAUACCUUAUGUUCUGUCUGCCUCGCAUGGGGUGGGUGGGAAAGGCUUUGGCCGGAUUUGGGUGGGCUCGCGGUCUAUCAGCUUGUUGGUGGGGUGAUGGCUUACCAAGGCUUUGACGGGUAGCCGGCCUGAGAGGGUGGUCGGUCACAUUGGGACUGAGAUACGGCCCAGACGCCUGCGGGAGGCAGCAGUGGGGGAUAUUGCACAAUGGGCGAAAGCCUGAUGCAGCGACGCCGCGUGGGGGAUGAAGGCCUUCGGGUUGUAAACUUCUUUUGCUCUGAACAAGGCAUGCCAGUGGGUGUGUUGAGUGUAGGGGUUGAUUAGCGCCGGCUAACUACGUG
This 485-nucleotide ribosomal RNA is filed under the name uncultured bacterium. RNAcentral describes it as "partial 16S ribosomal RNA". It matches the Rfam family "Bacterial small subunit ribosomal RNA", at positions 28 to 507 of the family's 1533-position model. The record is from RNAcentral.